Molecule: non-coding RNA, 3192 nt
Organism: Arachis ipaensis
Lineage: Eukaryota; Viridiplantae; Streptophyta; Magnoliopsida; Fabales; Fabaceae
Source: RefSeq, a predicted model, not a curated record
CCACUAGCAACCUCGCUUUUAUCGUCAGAAUUUCUACCUCUACUAUCUCCAUUGUAUAAAUAUAUAAAAAUAGGAAUAAAUUUUUGUGUUUGGGCCUCCAAGCUUUAUUUCUGGUUCGGGUAGAUUGGAUUUUUGUUGAACAAGAAUUCUCCAAUCCAAGGUGUGUCUUUAGGCCCGUUUUAGUAAAAACAGAAAUAAUGUUUUAUUGGAUAGGUUAAAGAGGAACGGGAGGGUGCGGAAGUUACAAAUCCAAUUCAGAUUUUCAUCGAUUUACUCAUUCCUAAUCCUACCCUGGUUCGCCAUCGCUAUGAGCAACGGUAAUCAGAGAUUGUUGAACCCGAACCCGAAUCCAGAAAGGGUGCUGAAAAUCCCAGUGAAGAAGACUGAUCCGGUGGAGCUGUACAGGCCGUUACGCAACUUGGCAGCGACAAGAUACUCAGAGAGCGAUGCACAGAAAGUUUAAAACGUUCUCGAAACCCUAAACAAAUGCCGCAAGGACAUAGUGGAGCGAUUUGGGGACCUCUCAUUUUCCAUGCAACGUGACUGCCUCAUGCACUACUUCAAAUGUCUCUGCAUGGUUGACCCACUCUUCACGGCUGUCUCCUCCGACGUCGACGCCGGCUCCGACCCGAUCACCUUUUUCUGGUACGACGCCUUCCUCCCCGAGCAUGAGGAUGGGGUCUCCUCGCAGCGCAACAGCAUCCAAUUGGAGAAGGCUGCUGUUCUCUUCAACCUUGGCGCCGUAUGCAGCCAGAUUGGGGCCUCUUGCGACCACAACACCGCCCUUGGCCGUCACCUUGCAAUGGACGCCUUCAAUGCCGCCGCCAAAUUCUUCUUCAAACUCUGGAAGGAUUUUGCCAAGGGCGUCUCCGCCACCCUCGACUUGACUCUCGUCUUCGCCGAGGCUCUGCACCGCCUCUUCUCCGCUCAGGCUUCCGAGCUCAAAUUACAGCAACAACUCCACGACAACAACAACAACAACAACGACGCCGUCGCCAGUCCCGCUCUCCAACAGCAUCGAAUUGCCGUUUCGUUUAAAUCGAUUUUUAAGCAUUAUCAGAGAGCAUGUGAUCUGAUACUUGGUGAUUCGGCGGCAAUCAAACAUGUCUGCUCAUUUGACGAAACUUGGAUACCUCAUCUUCGUCAUAAGAAGAAAUACUUUCAGGUGCAGGCUCGUCAGACGCGAUCAUCCAUCCUACCCGAAUCCCAGCUACCUGAUACAUUCUCAUUGCUCCAAUCUUGUCCUGUUGGUCAUGAUGCAGAAUCUGUCACUGAAAAACUAGUUGGAGGGAUUUGCAGCCAGGCGUACCAUUGGAGACCCAAGCAACAAGGAAUAUACCUUGACCUCAUCCUUUUCGAGUACAGCCCUUUCAAGAUUAUGGAUGGUGGAAAGCUGGUGGCUAACCCAUGGGACAUGCCUCCUCCUUAUCCAACAAAUUUCGCAAUCCGCUCAUCUUCGUUUCCGUCACAUAUUCUGGCAUUUCCUUUGAAGAAGACUGAGCCCUUAGACCUCUACGGGACUCUGCGCAACUACUUUGUCUUCAAAUACUCUGAGAGCAUGGCAGAGAGAGUAGAAGGCCUUCUUCAAAUGCUAAACAAAUUGCGUAGUGAAAUGCUGCGUGAUGACCUCUCUCUACCCGUUCGCCGUGACUGCCUCAUCCACUAUUUCAAAUGCCUUUGCAUGAUUGAGCCUUUGUUCCUUAUGACUGACUUGCCUAAUCCGCCUAUCUUUGUUUGGUACGAUGCCUUCAACCCACAACAGAAGUCUUCUCAGCACCAUAUUCAUUUCGAGAAGGCCUCUGUUCUCUUCAACCUGGGAGCCCUCUGCACCCAAAUUGCUCUCUCCUGCGAUCUCACCACCAUCCAAGGCCAUCGCCUUGCUAAGGACGCCUUAAAUGAUGCUUCACAUUGGUUUUUCAGACUGCCUCUUGAGGCUAAGAAGGUAUCUGCCACCAUUGACUUGUCCAUAAACUGUGCCAGGAUGCUGCAUGAGAUAAUAUCCGCUCAGAUUGCCGACUUGGAAUGGAAUUUUCCUCAUUCUCGUUCUGAUAGAUCAUCAUUACCUGUUACUCUGCUUUAUCAGAAAGCUUAUGCUCUGUUGACAUCUGGGCCUGAGAAUCUUGUUCCAUCCUCAAUACCUCAAUAUCUUGAGGAGAAGAUGAAAACCUACGCAGUUGAAACUGCUCCUACUGAUGUCACUGAACAAUUUCUAUCAGGGUAUUGUAUGGCUCAAUCCGUGCUUCAAAAGAGUUGUCUACCACCAUGCUUGGACCUUCUCUCCGAGGUUGGCCCUAUCAUGAUUAAGGAUGGAAAUUUUGUGACCAACCUUAGAGGCAGUAUCAGUCGCAUCGGAGGAGAUGAGCUCCCAAGAGACCUCAGUAACAUGAGCAUAAACUGAAACUAGACGAACUUUAGGAAUUAGCAUUGGAGGAGAUGAGCAAUCCUCAUAGUAGAUUUUAUGUUGGUUUCUAAAAUAGAAAACUACUUAUUUAGGUUUUCGAAGUGGCGCCCUCCUUGCACGUGGUGGAGCUGAGGAAAACUGGUGGCUACACACUGGAGUUUCACAAGUUCUAAAAAAACUUCUCUUCACGGUUGCAGGACAUAGUUUGGCAUAAUGAAAAAAAAAAUUGAGGAAUAAAAGGUACAGCCUAUUCUUUUUUGCUCUAAUAUAUAUAUCUUAUUUUUAAUAACAAAAUGUUCAAAUAGAUUUGAUGCCAGCCAACUCACUAAAAUUAAGAUACAUUCUAGUAUCAAAGAAUAGUGAUAAUAGGCAUGUUUAUACAAUAGAAUUAGAAAAUAGAUUUUGGCGAAUUUGUUAUAUCAUUUUAUGGUAUGCUUUAUCUCAGAGUUUUUUCUAUUGAUCUUUCUAAUGAUUAAAUAAUUGGAUGGAUUAUAGUCACAAAAAAAAAUAAUUGGAUGUAUUAUGUGUUGUGUUGCACUGGCACAGGUGCUGUAGACACCAUGCAAUUAUCCCGGUUCAUGGAAUUAUGAAUGAGAUAGAGUAACUUGUUAAAUUUGGAGAGUUUUAAAAUUAAAUUUGAGAGUAAAUUAAACUUUUGUAUAUAGUUCUUUCAUAUCUUAAUUUGAAUAUAGUUCACUCUUCCCACAAAGAAAAGUAGUGAUAAAAGAUUUCGGAUUUUGAACAUGUAAUAUAAUUGAACAUAAGUAUUCUAUGAACUACUAUGUGUGUGA